This 70-nucleotide non-coding RNA is filed under the name Archangium gephyra. RNAcentral describes it as "SAH sequence". It matches the Rfam family "SAH (S-adenosyl-L-homocysteine) riboswitch aptamer". The record is from RNAcentral. Lineage: Bacteria; Pseudomonadati; Myxococcota; Myxococcia; Myxococcales; Archangiaceae.
CACCCUGAGGAGCGCUGCAACGGGGUUUCUCCCCGCCAGGCUCAGGUUCGUGCAACGGCGCUCGCUGACU